GUGCUCCCUUCGGCAUCACGUAUACUAAAAUCGGAAAGAUAGAGAGAUUAGCCUGGUGCCUGUGCAAGGAUGACACACAAAUUCAAGAAGCAUUCCAUAUUUUU
Molecule: small nuclear RNA, 104 nt
Filed under: Dasypus novemcinctus (nine-banded armadillo)
Lineage: Eukaryota; Metazoa; Chordata; Mammalia; Cingulata; Dasypodidae
Source: RNAcentral